AAGUCGUAACAAGGUUUCCGUAGGUGAACCUGCGGAAGGAUCAUUAACCGUGUCUGUUGAGACAUGUGAUGUGGUGUGUGACGUAUGCGUGGUCCAUGUGGCCAUAUUUUUUAUUCUUUUACGGUUCAUCUAAUCCAACCAAUAACCAGUAAAACUGGCAGCAAUGGAUCCCUCGGUUCUC
RNAcentral lists this unclassified non-coding RNA (181 nucleotides) under fungal sp. RNAcentral's name for it is "partial internal transcribed spacer region". The stretch from base 1 to 46 matches the Rfam family "Eukaryotic small subunit ribosomal RNA", at positions 1786 to 1831 of the family's 1831-position model. Lineage: Eukaryota; Fungi. The record is from RNAcentral.